GAUUUCUGGCUUGAUACAUUUGGCCGGCCACGGUUUCGUGUGUUAGUGCCUUAUGUUCUGGCCAUCCUUCCAAUUGCUGCCCACUUUUCUUCAUUGAUUGGUGGGUGGUAUUGGAUCUUUUACUUUGAAAAAAUUAGAGUGUUUAAAGCAGGCUUGUGCUGUGAAUACAUUAGCAUGGAAUAAUAAUUUAGGACUUUGGUCUUAUUUUGUUGGUUUCUAGGACUAAAGUAAUGAUUGAUAGGGAUAGUUGGGGGUGCUAGUAUUCAGCGGCCAGAGGUGAAAUUCUUGGAUUCGCUGAAGACUAACUUAUGCGAAAGCAUU
This 321-nucleotide ribosomal RNA is filed under the name Sandonidae sp. RNAcentral describes it as "SSU rRNA". The stretch from base 62 to 321 matches the Rfam family "Eukaryotic small subunit ribosomal RNA", at positions 694 to 955 of the family's 1831-position model. Lineage: Eukaryota; Cercozoa; Glissomonadida; Sandonidae. The record is from RNAcentral.